GGUAAGUUAGCUAACUUGGUAAAGCGCCUGACUGUUAAUCAGCGAUAUCAGGGUUCAAAUCCCUGACUUACCGCCA
RNAcentral lists this transfer RNA (76 nucleotides) under Shigella sonnei. RNAcentral's name for it is "tRNA-Asn". It matches the Rfam family "tRNA". From Rfam's summary of the family: Transfer RNA (tRNA) molecules are approximately 80 nucleotides in length. Their secondary structure includes four short double-helical elements and three loops (D, anti-codon, and T loops). Further hydrogen bonds mediate the characteristic L-shaped molecular structure. tRNAs have two regions of fundamental functional importance: the anti-codon, which is responsible for specific mRNA codon recognition, and the 3' end, to which the tRNAs corresponding amino acid is attached (by aminoacyl-tRNA synthetases). tRNAs cope with the degeneracy of the genetic code in two manners: having more than one tRNA (with a specific anti-codon) for a particular amino acid; and 'wobble' base-pairing, i.e. permitting non-standard base-pairing at the 3rd anti-codon position. Lineage: Bacteria; Pseudomonadati; Pseudomonadota; Gammaproteobacteria; Enterobacterales; Enterobacteriaceae. The record is from RNAcentral.